RNAcentral lists this ribosomal RNA (422 nucleotides) under Caridina formosae. Its description in RNAcentral is "partial 16S ribosomal RNA". It matches the Rfam family "Bacterial large subunit ribosomal RNA", at positions 1932 to 2561 of the family's 2925-position model. The record is from RNAcentral. Lineage: Eukaryota; Metazoa; Arthropoda; Malacostraca; Decapoda; Atyidae.
CGCGGUAUUUGAACCGUGCUAAGGUAGCAUAAUAAAUAGUCUUUUAAUUGAGGUCUAGUAUGAAUGGUUGGACAUGAAGUAAGCUGUUUCAACUAUAAAAUUUGAAUUUUACUUUUAAGUGAAAAGGCUUAAAUUAUAUGGGGGGACGAUAAGACCCUAUAAAGCUUUACAUUUUAUUUUUUAGUUUGAGAGUUUAAUGUUUUCUAUACUUGGUAAGUAAAGUGUUUCGUUGGGGCGACGGAAAUAUAAAAUAAUAACUGUUUUUUAUAAAAAAUAAAUUUUUUUAGGAGAGUUGAUCCUUUAUACAGAUUAUGAGAAUUAAGUUACUUUAGGGAUAACAGCGUAAUUUUUCUUGAGAGUUCAUAUCGACAGAAAUAGUUGCGACCUCGAUGUUGAAUUAAGGUUUCCCCAGGGUGUAGCAG